UCAGUAAAGAGUCAAAUCCUGGUGUGUAGAGAUCCUCAAGCCAGAAGUCCAGAUCUCUAGGACUCUUCUCUUCCUCCUGCAAAGGAAAAGGAAAACCGGCUGAACUCUGAGACAUCAGCAGGUAUCUGUCAUCAAACUCCACACGAGUGCCCUCUGGGGACGGAGGAGACCAGCUUUCAGUCUUCACCCUUUGCUCCCUCUGUGGAGACAACGAGGCAGCGAUUUGAAUUCUCAUCACACCUACCUUCAACUCUUUGCCCAGACAAAGAGAAGACACUGGAGACACUGGACACACAGGAGGAUGAUGGUUAAAAGUCAACAAGAACACGAGGCAAAGCGUUCCAGGAAGAAAUCAUACACAUUUUCUGACCAGGCAGCAGGUGAGCAGGGUCUCGGGGUCCAGCCAGUGCAGCAGGUAGAAGGCC
Long non-coding RNA from Perca fluviatilis (European perch), 425 nucleotides. RefSeq lists it as uncharacterized. The transcript has 4 exons. The record is from RefSeq and is a predicted model, not a curated record. NCBI's taxonomy places the organism in Eukaryota, Metazoa, Chordata, Actinopteri, Perciformes, Percidae.